This 73-nucleotide transfer RNA is filed under the name Dipodomys ordii (Ord's kangaroo rat). It matches the Rfam family "tRNA". Rfam says of the family: Transfer RNA (tRNA) molecules are approximately 80 nucleotides in length. The record is from Rfam by way of RNAcentral. Lineage: Eukaryota; Metazoa; Chordata; Mammalia; Rodentia; Heteromyidae.
GGGGGCAUGACUCAAGUGGUAGAGCACCUGCCUAGCAAGCACGAGGCUCUGAGUUCAAAUCCCAGUUCUGCCA